This is a long non-coding RNA of Cebus imitator (Panamanian white-faced capuchin), 554 nucleotides long. RefSeq lists it as uncharacterized. The record is from RefSeq and is a predicted model, not a curated record. The transcript is spliced from 3 exons. NCBI's taxonomy places the organism in Eukaryota, Metazoa, Chordata, Mammalia, Primates, Cebidae.
UGUUGUUUUGUUUUUUGAGACAGAGUCUCACUCUGUCACCCAAGCUGGAGUGCAAUGGCACAAUCAUGGUUCACUGCAGCCCCGACUUACUGGACUCAAGUGAUCCUCCUGCCUUAGCCCCCCCCAGGUUGCUGGGACUACAGGGUCCUACUCUGUCACCCAGGCUGGGGUGCAGUGGCAUGAUCUCAGCUCACUGUGGCGUCAGCAUCCCAGGCUCAAAUGGUCCUCUCGCCUCAUCCUCCCAAGUAGCUGGGACCACAGAAACCCAAACUGGAGAACAUGUUCAGUGAAGCAACCAGGACUAAAUCAUUUGAAAUGCAUUAGCCAGCACGCGCUCCAAAUUAACUCAACACCAGUCACAUGUGUCUGGGGGAGUCUUCCCUGAAAGGUGGCAUGAGUUGAUUGGACCCCGGGAGUAACGCUGCACAGCAUGGCCCCAGAUCUGCUACUAACCAUGCACUGCACAGGGAAGGCUGCUUGUUACUAAGGCCUCUAUGGAAUCAGGGGGAACGGCCAACAAACCAGUGCAGAGCCUGCAAAAGUCAGACAGAAGG